Molecule: ribosomal RNA, 578 nt
Filed under: Halorubrum californiense
Lineage: Archaea; Methanobacteriati; Methanobacteriota; Halobacteria; Halobacteriales; Haloferacaceae
Description: bacterial SSU rRNA
Rfam family: Archaeal small subunit ribosomal RNA
Source: RNAcentral
GACAGUGCGAUAGGGGGAUCCCAAGUGCACAGGCAUAGCGCCUGUGCUUUUCGGUACCGUAAAGGUGGUACCAGAAUAAGGGCUGGGCAAGACCGGUGCCAGCCGCCGCGGUAAUACCGGCAGCCCGAGUGAUGGCCGAUCUUAUUGGGCCUAAAGCGUCCGUAGCUGGCCGCGCAAGUCCAUCGGGAAAUCCACCCGCUCAACAGGUGGGCGCCCGGUGGAAACUGUGCGGCUUGGGACCGGAAGGCGCGACGGGUACGUCCGGGGUAGGAGUGAAAUCCCGUAAUCCUGGACGGACCGCCGAUGGCGAAAGCACGUCGCGAGAACGGAUCCGACAGUGAGGGACGAAAGCCAGGGUCUCGAACCGGAUUAGAUACCCGGGUAGUCCUGGCCGUAAACAAUGUCUGCUAGGUGUGGCUCCCACUACGAGUGGGUGCUGUGCCGUAGGGAAGCCGCUAAGCAGACCGCCUGGGAAGUACGUCCGCAAGGAUGAAACUUAAAGGAAUUGGCGGGGGAGCACUACAACCGGAGGAGCCUGCGGUUUAAUUGGACUCAACGCCGGACAUCUCACCAGCAUC